This is a non-coding RNA of Phalacrocorax carbo (great cormorant), 3317 nucleotides long. Lineage: Eukaryota; Metazoa; Chordata; Aves; Suliformes; Phalacrocoracidae. The record is from RefSeq and is a predicted model, not a curated record.
UCCUGUCCCGCUGCUGCCGGCCGCGGGCGGGGCAGGUUUCGGUUGACCGCGGCGGCUCUCCGCCGAUCCCCUCACCGCUCGGCGCCGCGCCGGUGGCGGCGGUGGCUGCCGGGCCGGGGCGGGCCUGACCGGUGGUCGGCGGAGGGCUCGGAUCCGGUGGAAGUAACUGGCCACAGCGUGCUGCGGGGCAAGCGAGGUGCUCGAGCAAGGAAAGCUACGGCAGAUAUUAGCCUCACAGAGGUUUGGUUUGACCUUACCUGUUGCCUCAGUAAGGAAUCCAGUAAGAAGAUUAUAUACCGCAGUUCAAGGAUCUGUGUCUUGGAUAAAGCAAUGAUCAUUAGCAUUCUGUGAGAAGAACGCUGUUCUCCAGGGAGGACACGCCGCCAACAUGAGGUGUAUCUACACCAUGUCUGUGUUGUGUACAAACAUAUGAAGAUCUGGGUGUUGGCAACCACAGGAAGCAGCUGUGUGUAUGAAGAAGUCUAUAUGUCAGUAAUUUAUUGCGUUGCUUUUUAGUACAUUCUCAGAGGUGGUGAUACAAUUUUGUAAGUAUACAUGUACCCUAGGAUUUGAAAACCUUCUAGAGAACAACUGAAGCUAAUGUGCAAAUGCAGCAGAGAAUUCAGAAGUGUCUGUCUGAAAUGUAGGUGUGUUUGUAGCAGCCCUAUUCAUAUAUUACAGUAGCACAUUGAUUUAAUAUCUUAUUUCAAGUCCACCUCGUGGAUGUCUGGGAAUGACAUAGGUUUUGCCAUCAAUAUGUUCAGGCUGAAAAGUUUCUUUUCUAUCUUCAUUUUUAUUCCCGAAUGUACACUUCUGACACUUGAUUUGUGAUAGCUGACACCUCAAAGCUGAUAUAUGGCUCAAGAAUUAAGCAGCACAGGGCCAGACUGAAUGAGCUAGCUAUAAUCUCUCAAACAUACAAUACUGUCUGACAUAAAAUGUGAAAAUCAUCAGCGUGUGUAUAGUGUCAUACAGAAAAAAGUACUAAAAUGAAGUGGAAAAUUACUUGAGUUUUGACUCAGAGGAAGUUAAGCUUUUAAACUACCUGGUAUGCAUUUUUCAAUGUAUUUUUAAUCUCUUUUCCUUUCUUUUCAAGGAUGUAGAAACCAGAAUUAUAUUUCUGUAUUUCAAAUCCAGUCCUGUGUCCCUAUUUCUGAGGGAAGGCAAGGCAAGGCACAAGGAAGGGAAGGGCACAAGGAGGACAGAGUCAAAGUCUUUCCCAGCAGGUUUCUGGAUUGUUCAGUACUGCACUAGGGGAAGUGGCAACUGAGCUACAAUGAUGGCCUUUGUUGCCUAUACUUGCUUUGAAAAUGACAAUUGAAAUGAAGGUAGAAUUUUCCAGGCUUUUGGGGGGAGGAAAACUGAAGUUGCUACACCCUGAGUUACUGUACCAAACAUAGGUCUGUUUAAAAUUAAUUUACUGUAAAUCAGUAGUCUACCUGAUGACAAGAAACAUGUUUUGUGUAUCUUAAAAAAUCCAGAAAGUGACUUUGAAGAUUUGGAAAAGUGUAAUGCCACUGUUAUGUAAGAGCAUAUAUAGAUGAUGGUUUUAACUGCUGUAAUAGUGGUCAAACUGGAAUUUGGAUGAGAAUGUGCUGCCUUCCUCCAGUAAAACAAAAGGUGGAACAGAGGUUCUAGGUAACAUGUGACUGAUGGCCACUAAAAAUAUACAAAGGAGUAUGAAGCUUAGAAGAAAAGACAUAUACCUGAUUUCAGGUACCAGUAUGUGAUCUGCUAAAUAUAUUUUGAGAGUAGCCACACUCACAGUUUGGAGAGUGAAAUCUUAGUGUAUGGGAAAUCCUAUUUCAACCUCCUUGAAUUAGGAAAUUUGUCAUAAUGUGUGAAAACAGUUCCCAGCCACUGAAAGGAUCUUUCAUGACAGAAAGUCAGAAAGCCUUUCAAAGAAGCCAAAUUUCAUAGAAUAAUAGAGUCAUAGAAUAGUUUAGGUUGGAAGAGACUUUUAGAGGUCAUCUAGUCCAACCCCCUGCAGUGACCAGGGACAUCUUCAACUAGACCAGGUUGCUCAGAACCCUGUCCAGCCUGACCAUGAAUGUUUCCAGGGAUGGAGCAUCUACCACUCCUCUGGGCAACCCGUUCUGGUGGUACACCACCCUCAUCAUAAAAAACUUCUGCAUUAUAUCUAGUCUAAAUCUACCCUCUUUUAGUUUAAAACCAUUACCCCUUGUUCUAUUGCAACAGGCCCUACUAAAAGGUUUAUCCCCAUCUUUCUUAUAAGGCUUCCUUUAAAUAUUGAAAGGCCUUAAUAAGGUCUCCUCAGAGCCUUCUCUUCUCCAGGCUGAACAAGCCCAACUCUCUUCACAGGAGAGGUGCUCCAGCCCUCAGAUCAUUUUUGUGGUCCUCCUCUGGACCUGAUCCAACAGUUCCAUGUCCUUGUGCUGAGGCCUCCAGAGCUGGAUGCAUCACUCCAGGUGGGGUCUCACCAGAGCAGAGUAGAGGGGCAGAAUCACCUCCCUCUACCUGCUGGCCAUGCUUCUUUUGAUGCAGCCCAGGAUACGGUUGGCCUUCUGGGCUGUGAGUGCACAUUGCUGGCUCUUGUCCAGCUUUUCAUCCGCUAGUACCCCCAAGUCGUUCUCUGUAGGGCUGCUCUCAAUCCCUUCAUCCCCCAGCCUGUAUUGAUACUGGGGGUUGCCCCAACCCAGGUACAGGACCUUGCACUUGGCCUUGUUGAACCUCAUGAAGUUCACAUGGGCCCACUUCUUGAGCUUGUCCAGGUCCCUCUGCAUGGCAUCCCACCCCUCAGGCUUGUCAGCUGCACCACUCAGCUUGGCGUCACCUGCAAACUUGCUGAGGGUGCACUCAAUCUUGCUGUCUAUGUCACUGAUGAAGAUAUUAAACAGUACUGGUCCCAGUACUGACCCCUGAGGGACACCACUUGUCACUGAUCUCCAUCUGGACAUUAACCCCACUUUUGGUAAUUAGCUGCCUCAUGGGUCAGUGGUCAGAGGAAAGACCAUAUGCCAUUAUUUCCCAAAACAGAUCAAUAAGCAAGUUUCAGCAGAAAGAGACGUAUAGUUACACUAAAUGGUUUAUUUAAUUUAAGAAUGUUUAAACAGGGAUCAAAACCAACCACAGUGUCAGGAAAAAGCUUGCUUCAGUUCAGCAGAACAGCUAUUUUCCGUCUUGACCUACCAAAGAGAAGCAGUACUGUUUGGCUCACCAGAGUCAGGAAACUGAGAUGUUUUAUGAUCCCGUUGGAAUGGUAUCUAUCUCACUGAAGCUAGCAGUGUGAGGAAUGCUGUUUUACAACCAUGUUUUAAAAGUAACACAAAUACUGCAGUAUUUUAUGAAAAGUUUGA